GAAAACCCCUGCAUGAACUGGGCCCCUGACUCCAGGAAAACAGAGGCAUCUUCCAAUGUCCUUGGAGCCAUGAGACCCCGAAACACCUACCGGGAACAGAGGGGCUUCACCCAGACAGGCCCCACCAGGGAGGAGGAGGCCGCUCUCCCUCCCACCACCGUUGUCGGGGGUGACCCGAGGUGUUCCAGAUGAGGAGCUGAAUCACUGGGACUUAAGUCAAUAAGUGGCAGCCACCAGGCAGGCCCAGCUGGAGCCAAACCAAGGCCUGGAUUCUCCUCGUGGAUGUCUGGCACAGCAUGAGCCCUGAUGUGCGCUUUCUGCUCCUGCUCCUGCUCCUGCCCCUUCGGAGGCCUGUGCCAGUGGCAGCUGGGCCCGGAGACACCAGGCCGGCACUGCUCUCUUUCGAGGCACCCGUGUUUGUGCCGACGCUGACUCCCGGUUGUCUGCAGCAGCCACGUGGCCGAAAUGGAGCCUCUCCACGGGGGCUCCUUCCCCAGCCCCUGGAUGGCACAGCAGCCUCUCCUGUCUGUCACCACGUGUGACCUGCUCCCUUAGUCUUCAGCCGCUCAUCCACGUCUGCAGGGGCAUCUAACUCUGUCCCAGGGUAUCCCAGACCCUGGCUCACGCCCCAGGCUCUCCAUUCAGGCUCCAUCGUCCACCUCAGACCAUCUCGGGUUUGCUGGUCUUCUGGACUAGCGCAGCCAGAAAGAACCCAGGAAGGAAGCCUCACGUCUGACACAAGAACCUUCGGUGCUAACCCGAGGGCGGUAUGUGCAUCCUCAGCACCUGCCCAUCCGGCACCAUCCUCUGAUCCAGGGACUGUGAGCAACAGGGCCCCGUGGCCAGGACAUCUCUCACCCUCCAGUUAAAAUCUCGCCAGUUGAGUCUGCCCAUGAAAGUAGGCGCUGAACUGCCCAAUAAAUCCACAAGUAAGAGUUGCAAGAAGGAGCCAAAAAGGGCUGAGCUGAAUGACUCAUAUAUGAAAUAAUUUGAUAAUUAAUAUAAAUAGGAAAUUUAAAGUCUCCAGCUGAGUGACAGAAAACACCUUAAAAAGCUCAAGAGAGAGGAAAGGAAGAAAAUAAACCUAUAAUUGCAAAAUAAAAGCAUUGAAAGAAGCCGUG
This 1121-nucleotide long non-coding RNA is filed under the name Homo sapiens (human). RNAcentral's name for it is "non-protein coding lnc-C17orf97-1:2". The record is from RNAcentral. Lineage: Eukaryota; Metazoa; Chordata; Mammalia; Primates; Hominidae.